RNAcentral lists this long non-coding RNA (394 nucleotides) under Gossypium barbadense (sea-island cotton). RNAcentral's name for it is "long non-coding RNA (GBAR_LNC010734)". The record is from RNAcentral. Lineage: Eukaryota; Viridiplantae; Streptophyta; Magnoliopsida; Malvales; Malvaceae.
UGGACGCGGCUUGGGAUGUGGAAUCACGGGAGGCUGAUAUUGGUUGUGUAGCACGCCACAAGGAUAGCUUGGUCUUAAAGGCCUUGCGCGGCAUGUUUCCUCAUGUUGGGACGCAUAUUGGGGCUUGAAUAUGCGCAGGCUAUGAACUUUAUAAAUAUUGUUAUUGAAUCUGACUCUUGCUUUGUUAUUUCGAAAUUUUUUCAUGAUACUUUGGACUUCACUCAUUUGGGUCAAUUUGUUUCUAAGGCCCGUAUUUUGUAUUCGAAUUUUGAUUCUUUAGAUUUUCAUUUUGUUAAUAGGGCAGGUAAUAAUGUUGCCGAUAGGAGUAUUCGCAUGGGCUUAUUAUAUGUACAUAAGAAGUGUUUUGGUGUGAAUUGCCCCCAUAGGCUCCACG